GACGAACGCUGGCGGCGUGCUUAACACAUGCAAGUCGAACGAUGAAGCCGGAGCUUGCUCUGGUGAAUUAGUGGCGAACGGGUGAGUAACACGUGAGUAACCUGCCCUUGACUCUGGGAUAACUGCUAGAAAUGGUAGCUAAUACCGGAUACGACCCUCGGCGGCAUCGCCAGGGGGUGGAAAGAAUUUCGGUCAAGGAUGGACUCGCGGCCUAUCAGCUAGUUGGUGAGGUAACGGCUCACCAAGGCGACGACGGGUAGCCGGCCUGAGAGGGUGCCCGGCGACCCUGGGACUAAGACACGGCCCAGACUCCUACGGGAGGCAGCAGUGGGGAAUAUUGCACAAUGGGCGCAAGCCUGAUGCAGCAACGCCGCGUGAGGGAUGACGGCCUUCGGGUUGUAAACCUCUUUUAGUAGGGAAGAAGCGAAAGUGACGGUACCUGCAGAAAAAGCACCGGCUAACUACGUGCCAGCCGCCGCCGUAA
RNAcentral lists this ribosomal RNA (484 nucleotides) under uncultured bacterium. Its description in RNAcentral is "partial 16S ribosomal RNA". It matches the Rfam family "Bacterial small subunit ribosomal RNA", at positions 28 to 523 of the family's 1533-position model. The record is from RNAcentral.